AACUGGAUAGCUCAGCUGGUAGAGCACAAGACUCUUAAUCUUAAGGUUGUGGAUUCAAGUUCCACACUGGGCA
Molecule: non-coding RNA, 73 nt
Organism: Podarcis lilfordi (Lilford's wall lizard)
Lineage: Eukaryota; Metazoa; Chordata; Lepidosauria; Squamata; Lacertidae
Source: the annotation of a GenBank genome assembly